GUCCUCCAUAGCUCAGUGGUAGAGCGUCCAACCGGCACCUGGAAGGUCAUGGGUUCGAUUCCCGUUGGGGAGCUCA
RNAcentral lists this transfer RNA (76 nucleotides) under Desmophyllum pertusum. Its description in RNAcentral is "tRNA-Ala". It matches the Rfam family "tRNA". Rfam says of the family: Transfer RNA (tRNA) molecules are approximately 80 nucleotides in length. Their secondary structure includes four short double-helical elements and three loops (D, anti-codon, and T loops). The record is from RNAcentral. Lineage: Eukaryota; Metazoa; Cnidaria; Anthozoa; Scleractinia; Caryophylliidae.